This 492-nucleotide ribosomal RNA is filed under the name uncultured bacterium. RNAcentral describes it as "partial 16S ribosomal RNA". It matches the Rfam family "Bacterial small subunit ribosomal RNA", at positions 29 to 507 of the family's 1533-position model. The record is from RNAcentral.
AGUGAACGCUGGCGGUAGGCCUAACACAUGCAAGUCGAACGGCAGCACAGUAAGAGCUUGCUCUUACGGGUGGCGAGUGGCGGACGGGUGAGGAAUACAUCGGAAUCUACUUUUUCGUGGGUGAUAACGUAGGGAAACUUACGCUAAUACCGCAUACGACCUACUGGUGAAAGCAGGGGAUCUUUUGACCUUUCGCGAUUGAAUGAGCCGAUGUCGGAUUAGCUAGAUGGCGGGGUAAAGGCACACCAAGGCGACGAUCCGUAGCUGGUCUGAGAGGAUGAUCAGCCACCCUGGAACUGAGAAACGGUCCAGACUCCUGCGGGAGGACGCAGUGGGGAAUAUUGGACGAUGGGCGAGAGCCUGAUCCAGCCAUACCGCGUGGGUGAAGAAGGACUUAGGGUUGUAAAGCCAUUUUGUUGGGAAAGAAAAGCAGCAGGUUAAUACCCCGCUGUUCUGACGGUACCCAAAGAAUAAGCACCGGCUAACUUCGUA